This 282-nucleotide long non-coding RNA is filed under the name Gallus gallus (chicken). The record is from RNAcentral. Lineage: Eukaryota; Metazoa; Chordata; Aves; Galliformes; Phasianidae.
CAAGGGGGCAGCCAGAAGUAGUCAAGGGAAGCUUUUCCACUGCAGCAAUGUGAUGAUGUAAUAUCCAAGUCUCCCUCUGGUUUGCAUCUAUGAAUAACAGAUGGGUUGCUGUAAGGUACAGAGUUCCUGUCAGAGACUUAUUGCUGGUGCUGAACCUAUCCAGUAAUUUCACGUGCUCUACCUUGGUGGUGCGGAUGUGCUCCAUGACGACCCCGAGCGCGCGGCUGAAAACAGAGCGUACCGCCGCCGGGCCGGGCCGGCCGUCACCUACUGCCGCUUCCG